GCGCGCGCCUUUAGACGCCAACGGCUGUAGACCCAGGAUUUUGGAGUCUUCGCUGAGAAAGGGAGCGAUCUCAGGAAAGCUGCUUUGCCAUUUCUACUGAGUGCCUACCCCUUGCUGAGGGCAAACAUUGAGGAAAUGAGUCACAGAGAAGAAUGGAGAUUUGCUGAGAACAUUCCAGGGACUCUGCCUCCCACACUCUAGCCAGAAGACAAAAUGAUGCUCCAAAGAUAGAAAUUUCAAGUGAGUAUUUAGUCUUUUAUAUAUCAAACUAAUGGAAACUUGUGACUAAAAUAUGUUCUCACACUGAAAAUUUGGGCUUAAAUAACCAGUUUUUAAGGUGGGACGUUAAAAUAGCCAUUGGACUGUGGAACCACACUUAAUUGUGUGAUUAUUUAGAAAAAAAAAAAGCCAUACCACUUUGAAAGUAUUGAAGACAAGUAGCAGGAAUAUAUUAUGGUAUUUUGGACCCAGAAACUAGUUUCAGGAAUAAAAAUUUUACAGACAGCCAAGAGAUUUUAGAACUAUUUUCAAGGGUGUUUACUGGAAAAUGAAGGUAUUCAGAACCAUGACUAUUGAUGAUUAAGCUACAAAAUUUCAUGCCCAUUGUAAGUACAUGAUUUAAGGAGAAAACAAGUAGAUAAAAAUAUGUAAUCAACCUAUGACAUCAAAUAAAAAUUUUAGAACAAAUGUUCAUAAUGUGCCAUUUUUGCAAUUGCUUACCCCUUCUAAGGGGAUUUCAAAUCUAGCCCUUUGUGGCUUCAAGGGUUGCUUGUCUGUUCAUAGAAACUUUUGUUGUACAAUCUGGAAUGAGCUUGAUUUUACUCUGAGACACUAUUGUGAACUAGGAUAUAAACAAGGCUCAAUAGGAAAUUUUAGAUCUUAAAGAAAAGCUGAGAAAUUUGGCUCAAAAAAUGGAACAGAUUGAAACAAUUUUUACCAAAGGAAUAUGAGACAGUAAAGGAAAUUGAUUCAGAAGAAGACGACUAGUAUCAUUUUGAAAAGCUAGCUAUGAAGCACAAGGUGUGCAGUUCUUGUUAUAACGAUUGAGUGUGCUGCUGUAAUGCGAAAACAUGUGCCAGGCUGAUAAAAGUAGUUCCCUGGAUUUUAAAAUGAUAGUGACACUGUCUUAUACUGAGUUGCAUGUGAAAGAGAUUUUCUCCUUUAAAAAUUGUACCAAAACCAGUGGGAGAAACAAACCAACCAAAGGGCGUUAGGAGUUUCAUGCUUGGGAAUAAUGUACAUUGUAAGUUUUGAAAUGCCUCCUAGGACUAAAGUGUUG
This is a long non-coding RNA of Pteropus alecto (black flying fox), 1279 nucleotides long. RefSeq lists it as uncharacterized. The record is from RefSeq and is a predicted model, not a curated record. NCBI's taxonomy places the organism in Eukaryota, Metazoa, Chordata, Mammalia, Chiroptera, Pteropodidae. The transcript has 2 exons.